This 6076-nucleotide long non-coding RNA is filed under the name Brassica napus (rape). RNAcentral describes it as "long non-coding RNA (BNAP_LNC007013)". Lineage: Eukaryota; Viridiplantae; Streptophyta; Magnoliopsida; Brassicales; Brassicaceae. The record is from RNAcentral.
AGGGAAUUGACAGCCUUAGAGAAAUGGAUGAUCGGAUUGGGUACCAGGUGGGUUCGUUUGCAGAGCGUUAUCUGAGGGAUGAGCUUAACAUCUCAGAGUCAAGGCUCGUCCCGCUUGGUUCACCUGAAGCUUAUGCCAAAGCUUUAAAAGAUGGACCAAGAAAAGGAGGUGUUGCGGCAAUUGUGGACGAGCGUCCUUAUGUUGAACUCUUCCUCUCCAGCAAUUGCGCUUAUAGGAUCGUUGGUCAGGAGUUCACCAAAAGUGGCUGGGGAUUUGUAAGUCAGUAUUAUUUUUACCAUUCAGUCAAAAUUACAAAUUUACAAAUGUUUCUUUUACUUAGGCAUUUCCUAGAGACUCUCCUCUAGCAAUAGAUCUGUCAACAGCGAUCUUGGAGUUGGCAGAGAACGGGGAUCUGCAGAGGAUCCAUGAUAAGUGGCUGAUGAAGAACGCAUGCACCCUAGAGAACGCAGAACUUGAAUCAGACAGGCUUCAUCUGAAAAGCUUCUGGGGACUGUUUCUCAUAUGUGGAGUUGCAUGUGUCCUCUCUCUCUUCCUCUACUUUGUUCAGAUCAUCCGUCAGCUCUACAAUGGAAAGCCAAGCGAGGAAGAAGAAGAUGCCAUUGGGAGAGAGAAUCAUGACUCCUCGUCCUUGCGGUCUACUCGUCUGCAGAGAUUCUUGUCGCUCAUGGAUGAGAAAGAAGACGUGUCCAAGGCGGGAAGCAAGAAGAGAAAGAUCGAUGGAUCAGUGAAUGAUAAUUCAGUAUCGAGACAUUCACGGCGACUUGACAGCUUCAAUUCGGUUAAUCCAUUAGAUUGAAAGUUUAGUUACAGAAGAUUCUUUAAGGCAUCAAAACCGUUUAUAGUAUCAAAAGUGUAUCCAACUUGUGCAUUCCCUGAUUCUGUAAUCUUUUAAUCUUAUUAGGAGUUCUUCAAAACAAGUGUAUGUGACAUGUUUAUGGAAGCAUUAAAGGCAAUAUUAAUUUUUUUUAGAGUAGCUGUACCAAGUUCAAUACGGUAAAAAUAAAUGAGUAGCUACAUCGUCUGACAAACUCUCAACAACCACACACAAGCUUAUGGCUAACGAUCUGAAACGUACCGUGAAAAUUAAAUGAUGAGGGACCAGUCGUUGUCUCUUUCAGAGUAUGAGUAGCUACAUCGUCUGACAAACUCUCAACAACCACACACAAGCUUAUGGCUAACGAUCUGAAACGUACCGUGAAAAUUAAAUGAUGAGGGACCAGUUGUUGUCUCUUUCAGAGAAGGAGAGCUCAGGCACAAGGCCACGACAUUCUCAAACCUCAUCCAAUCCCUUCAGACAAUACCAAUAAUGAAAACCUAUCACUAAUCCCCACCACACAGACACACACACAAAAAAAAAAGAUUAUUGAUUUCAUUUCCCCAAUUAAACCCUCGUCCUGCUGCUUAUCCUUCUUCGUCCAGAGACGGAAAAAAAAACACAAAUUAAUGGCGGCUGAAUAUUCCGGUAGCCGAAGUUCCAACACACAGCUUCUCGCUGAACUCGAAGCCCUAAGUGAAAAUCUUUACCAGAAACCUCAGGCUCCAGUUGGUCGCAGAACAAACUCUCUCGCUCUCCCUCGCAGCUCCGUUCCGUCCCUCGUGACCUCUGCCGAGGAUGUGACGGUGCCGAAACCACGGUCUCGGCGUUUGUCUCUGUCUCCAUGGCGGUCUCGACCCAAGCUUGAGGCAGAGGAGGAAGAGAAUAUGGCUCAGAAGAUAAGCAUCAAGACACCAGAAGAGUCAUGAAAAUCUUUACCAGAAACCUCAGGCUCCAGUUGGUCGCAGAACUAACUCUCUCGCUCUCCCUCGCAGCUCCGUUCCGUCCCUCGUGACCUCUGCCGAGGAUGUGACGGUACCGAAACCACGGUCUCGGCGUUUGUCUCUGUCUCCAUGGCGGUCGAGACCCAAGCUUGAGGCAGAGGAGGAAGAGAAUAUGACUCAGAAGAUAAGCAUCAAGACACCAGAAGAGUCUUCAUUGGUGGGAUCCAAAGCCAAGGAAGAGAGAAAAGGGAUAUGGAACUGGAAACCCAUUCGCGGGCUGGCCCGAAUCGGAAUGCAGAAGCUGAGCUGUUUGUUGUCGGUCGAGGUCGUAGCGGCCCAGAAUCUACCGGCGUCGAUGAACGGUCUACGACUCGGGGUUUGCGUGAGGAAGAAGGAAACCAAAGAUGGCGCUGUCCAGACGAUGCCGUGUCGGGUUUCUCAAGGAUCUGCCGAUUUCGAGGAGACGCUGUUCAUCAAGUGCCACGUGUACUACUCGCCGGCUAAUGGGAAAGGUGCUCCCGCCAAGUUUGAGGCUCGGCCGUUUUUGGUUUAUCUAUUCGCGGUGGAUGCUAAGGAGCUCGAGUUUGGAAGGAACAUGGUGGAUUUGAGCGAUUUAAUCCAGGAAUCUGUGGAGAAGAUGAGUUACGAAGGAGCUAGGGUUAGGCAAUGGGAUAUGAGCUGGGGGCUUUCAGGUAAAGCCAAAGGCGGUGAACUGGUUCUCAAAUUAGGGUUUCAGAUCAUGGAAAAAGAUGGUGGAGCUGGCAUUUACGGUAAACAAGGUGAAUUAGGGAUUAAACCGAGCAGCAAGCCGAAGAAUUUCUCCGGUUCCUUCGGGCGAAAGCAAUCGAAAACUUCCUUCAGUGUCCCCAGCCCAAAGAUGACUAGCCAGAGCCAGACGUGGACGCCAGCAAGUGGCGUGGAAGCUGCGUCUGAUCUUCAAAGAAUUGAGCAUCUGAAUCUGGAUGACCCGGAGGAGAAACCUGCUCCGAAAACAGAGGAACCUGAACAGAGAGUUGAAGAAGAUGAUCAAGAGCCUCCUGAUUUUGAGGUUGUGGACAAAGGAGUCGAGUUUGAUGACGACAUGGAAACUGAGAAAUCAGAUGGAACCAUAGGUGAGAGAUCCUCUGAGAUGAAGGAGCAACUUGUUAAUGUUGACGAUCCACGGCACAUGAUAAGACUGACGGAGCUAGAUUCUAUUGCAAAGCAGAUCAAAGCGCUUGAAUCUAUGAUGAAAGAUGAUCGUAACGGUGAGGAAGGUGAGAGAGAGUCACCAAGGCUCGAUGAAGAGGAGCAGACUGUGACAAAGGAGUUCCUUCAGUUACUUGAGGAUGAAGAAUCCGAAAAUCUCAAAUUCUACCAGCACAAAAUGGAGAUCUCCGAGCUGCGGUCUGGUGAAUCAGUAGAGGAAGAAUCUGAGAAUUACCUCUCAGAUCUUGGCAAAGGCAUCGGUUGUGUUGUUCAGACGAGGGACGGCGGAUACUUAGUUUCUAUGAACCCUUUUGAUACGGUGGUCAUGAGGAAGGACACUCCUAAGCUCGUGAUGCAAAUCUCGAAACAGAUCGUGGUACUACCUGAAGCCGGAUCAGCGACUGGAUUCGAAUUGUUUCAUAGAAUGGCGGGUUCGGGUAAGGAACUUGACUCAAAGAUAUGUUCGCUUAUGGCGAUGGACGAGCUUAUGGGGAAAACAGGGGAACAAGUGGCUUUCGAAGGUAUAGCGUCAGCGAUCAUACAAGGGAGGAACAAAGAGCGAGCGAACACGAGCGCAGCGCGAACUGUUGCUGCUGUUAAAACGAUGGCUAACGCUAUGAACAGCGGAAGAAGAGAUAGGAUAAUGACAGGAAUCUGGAACGUGGAGGAGAAUCCAUUGGCUUCAGCUGAGGAGGUUUUAGCUGUUUCUUUGCAGAAACUUGAAGAGAUGGUGAUCGAAGGACUAAAGAUUCAAGCUGAUAUGGUGGAGGAUGAUGCUCCUUUUGAGGUUUCCGCUGCCAAAGGCCAGCCAAAUCCACUUGAGUCGACCAUCCCGCUCGACGAGUGGCUCAAGGAGAAUCGCAAGCAGAAAACGUUGACCGUUUUUGCGACAGUGCAGCUCCGGGACCCAACAAGGAGAUAUGAGGCAGUGGGAGGGACAGUUGUCGUGGCGGUGCAGGCUGAAGAUCAGGAGGAUGGACUAAAAGUGGGAAGCUUGCACGUUGGGGGAGUGAAGAGCAAUGGGGCGGAGAAGCGAAGGUUGACUGCGGCGCAGUGGCUUGUGGAGUAUGGUAUGGGUAAGAAGGGUAAGAAGAAGAGUAAUGUUAAGAGGAAGGAGAAAGAAGAAGAAGAAGAUGAAGAAUUGUUGUGGAGCUUGUCGUCUAGAGUUAUGGCGGAUAUGUGGCUAAAAUCUAUAAGGAACCCUGAUGUGAAGUUGCACUGUUGAGGUUGAGAAUUUCACAGUACAGAAUAAGAUGCAUAUGUGUAUACAAAAGGUUAUUUUCGCUUUGUUAUUUAUAGCUAUUUGAGCAGAACUUGUCUAGUAUCUAAAUUUGAUCGUUCUUUGUCAACUGGUAAAGAGGUGGGCACUUCGGUUAUUUUCUCGGUUAGGGUUCGGUUCUAGUAUUUUUCCAACUUAAAUAAAUUAUGUUUGGUUUGGUUCGAUUCGGUUUGUGCUCGGUUCGAUUUAUCGAUUUGUAUUCGGGUUCGAUUUGUAUUCGGUUCGGUUGGAUUUAUUUUUUGGAUCAGUUUAUUUAUGUUCUUCUUAGUUAGAGUCUUCUUAGUUUAAUUUUUUUAGAGUAUUUAGGCUCUAUACACACAGAAAUUAUGGAAAUUAGGAGAAUGCCUCCGACACCGUUAAACUUUUUUUAAUACCAAAACACCCCUACACAACUUCAUCACCUAUAUCUUGUACUUUUGAUUUUCUGUCAGAGACUAGAACCUAAGACCUUAUACUACACGCCAUGCACUGGAUUUCACUAUUACUCAUAAAGACGCCAAGGGUACAUAAAUAGGCAACAAUUACAUUUAUUGGUAGUUUACCAAUUGUGUUAAAAGUCACGACCUUUCAUGUUUCUUUCUUCAUAAACUCAACAAUCUCUAUUUUUUUUUUCUCAUUUUUCUCUCUGAUACAGAGAAGCUAGAGAAUCAAAACCUUUCAUGCCUCUUUACCCUGCAUCAUCUAAGAGCAUGUUGAAAUAAUUCGAGAUUUGGAAGAAUUUCUGGCAUGUCCAUGGGGUAGGAUCUCGUUCGAAAUGCUAGUUAUCGGGAUCAAGAAGAAAGACGAGAUUCUACUUUCUCAAACUAGCGUUGCGUUGCCUGGAUUUGUGGAUGCGACUCAGCUUGUGUUUAUGGUGGCAGUUCCUCAGAUUAAAGAGGUUGUUCCACAGGUUGAACCGGUUGUGUUGAUUAAGUCAAGACUCCGAGUCAGAGUCUGAUUGCAACGAUUUUCAAGUUGACGAAGAAGACGAGCCAGAUGUUUCUAAACCAACCCCACCUCUAGCAAUAGUUUGAUAUUGCAUAAACCCAACACACGUUAAAGCCCUGGAUGAAUAAGUUAAGGUUAGUAACUGUAUAAUAACGACUAAUAUUUUUUUGUAAAUGUAAAUAAAGAUCUUACCAGCAUCAAUGUUCAAAAUUGGUUAACUACUUCUGAUGUUGGUCUUUAUGUUAGAUUAGCCGAUACCCUUAGAAUGUCAUAGUUACUAAAUGAUGUAGCGCCUAUCGUAUAUAGUUACCACUAAAUAUUUUGUUAGGUGAAGUAACAGAAAAUAGCUGUAGCAGAGAUACGCUAAUGGAUGAACGUAACAGAAAAUAGCUGUAGCAGAGAUAAUUAACCGUUAUUGUCGCUAGUUAUUUAAUUUGCUCCAUGUUGCGUGUUAAAGGCUAACAAAUGAAAGCUAUUAUGAAUGGUAACUGAUACGAAAAGUAAUUACGGCUAAUAAUUAUCAUGUGUAGUAGUCGACAAAUGUAAUGAAUUCUGCUGCACUAUCCUGCUUGUGGCCACUACUUUAAAAAGUGUAGUUGAUUUGAUUGUUUGUGUCACAUCAAUCCUGACGUUUCAGCAGCUCUCGUCACCAAUCAAGGGAAUUGACAGCCUUAGAGAAAUGGAUGAUCGGAUUGGGUACCAGGUGGGUUCGUUUGCAGAGCGUUAUCUGAGGGAUGAGCUUAACAUAUCAGAGUCAAGGCUCGUCCCGCUUGGUUCACCUGAAGCUUAUGCCAAAGCUUUAAAAGAUGGACCAAGAAAAGGAGGUGUUGCGGCAAUUGUGGACGAGCGUCCUUAUGUUGAACUCUUCCUCUCCAGCAAUUGCGCUUAUAGGAUCGUUGGUCA